Molecule: non-coding RNA, 953 nt
Filed under: Pristipomoides argyrogrammicus (ornate jobfish)
Lineage: Eukaryota; Metazoa; Chordata; Actinopteri; Lutjaniformes; Lutjanidae
Description: 12S ribosomal RNA
Rfam family: Bacterial small subunit ribosomal RNA
Source: RNAcentral
CAAAGGUUUGGUCCUGACUUUAUUAACAACUCUAGCUAGAUUUACACAUGCAAGUAUCCGCACCCCUGUGAGAAUGCCCUGACAGUUCCCUGCCCGGGAACAAGGAGCUGGUAUCAGGCACGCCCCUAUUUAAGCCCACGACACCUUGCUUAGCCACACCCCCAAGGGAACCCAGCAGUGAUAAACUUUAAGCCAUAAGUGAAAACUUGACUUAGUUAAAGCUAAGAGGGCCGGUAAAACUCGUGCCAGCCACCGCGGUUAUACGAGAGACCCUAGUUGUUAGACACCGGCGUAAAGAGUGGUUAAGAAAAACACUAAACUAAAGCCGAACGCUUAUCAGAGCUGUUAUACGCAUCCGAAAGUAAGAAGUUCAAUCACGAAAGUGGCUUUAUACCCUCUGACCCCACGAAAGCUAUGACACAAACUGGGAUUAGAUACCCCACUAUGCCUAGCCCUAAACAUUGGUAGUAUAUUACAUCCACUACCCGCCCGGGAACUACGAGCAUUAGCUUGAAACCCAAAGGACUUGGCGGUGCUUUAGACCCACCUAGAGGAGCCUGUUCUAGAACCGAUAACCCCCGUUCAACCUCACCUUUUCUUGUUUAACCCGCCUAUAUACCACCGUCGCCAGCUUACCCUGUGAAGGCCUUAUAGUAAGCAGAAUCGGCACAGCCCAGAACGUCAGGUCGAGGUGUAGCGUAUGGAAAGGGAAGAAAUGGGCUACAUUCUCUACUAUAGAGAACACGAAUGAUGCGUUGAAAUACGCAUACUGAAGGAGGAUUUAGCAGUAAGCAGAAAAUAGAGUGUUCUGCCGAAGUUGGCCCUGAAGCGCGCACACACCGCCCGUCACUCUCCCCGAGCCUAAUGAAUUUAUAUAAUUAAUAAGCCUACUAUUGCUAAGGGGAGGCAAGUCGUAACAUGGUAAGCGUACCGGAAGGUGCGCUUGGAUAAAC